This is a non-coding RNA of Haemonchus contortus (barber pole worm), 61 nucleotides long. The record is from Rfam. Lineage: Eukaryota; Metazoa; Nematoda; Chromadorea; Rhabditida; Trichostrongylidae.
AAGAUGUUAACUUAAAUAAAAGUGUUAGAUUUUUAAUCUAAAAAUGUGUUUUCACAUCUUA